RNAcentral lists this unclassified non-coding RNA (575 nucleotides) under Hevea brasiliensis (rubber tree). Lineage: Eukaryota; Viridiplantae; Streptophyta; Magnoliopsida; Malpighiales; Euphorbiaceae. The record is from RNAcentral.
GUUGGUUCAGAAAGGAAUUGAGGUACGUGUGUUGUGUAGAUUUUGGCAAUACUUUUACUUGAAUAGUUUUCAAUAGACUGCAUACAUGUUCAUCUGCAAGGCAGUAACAUAAAAUGUUUUCUUAUUUGAGCUGAAGUAAGCAAAGGAGGUUAAAUAUGACACAACCACUCACGCAUGUGUACAGGGAAUAAAUGUGUCAAAGCAGGGAUGAAAUAGAUUUAUGUUAAAGUAGAUUAAACCUCUUUGUUGACUAUUUUUUUGAAUAAAUCUUUGUUGACUAAUUGAUGAAACUAAUAUUCAUUUAUGUUAGUGAAACUGAUACUUGCAGUUUCUAUUUUCUGUUUUCUGUUUUCCUUCCCCUUUUGCCUAGUUGUUAUUUGGGGUUGAAGUAGUAAUGAUGAUACUUUGCUUCGUCAUACCUUCUCUAUUACUAUUCCCAUAAACCCAUUAUAAACUUGGCUGUCUUAGGCUACCUGUGUAGGCAGACAUAACUGCACUUUUUACCUUUUCCUUUCCUGGAUUCUGAUGUGGUUGAUAACUUUAAUUGUUUUAGGUUCUUUACUUAAUUGAGCCUA